AUGCCCAGCUGCCGGUUUGGGAUUGCUCUGGGGUUCACGGAGCCGGGCUGCAAAACCAAUCGGUACUGCGUGCUUCUGGCAGCCAAGCGUCCGGCAGGGCCUUUCCCCAUCCCCCUCCGUGCAUUAAUAGCUUUUUUCUUUUUUUUUUUUCUCCUCCUUAGCUUUAGUAGGAAAAAAUGCUCCCUGCUGUGUUUGUUUCCCGGCAGCAUCCUGCUCCAGCAACCCGGCCCCGGUGCUGGGUGCCGAGCGCUCGAGUUCCUGGGAAAGGCGGCGCCGGGAUGCCCCCGGGCAGCAGCAGACAUCGGCACACGCGGAACCGCUCGAGCCGAGAAGGGCAGGAAAAGGGCCCUCGGCCCACGCAUCCCGUUCAGCCUCGUGCCUCUAAUCCAGGUCGGGCUCGCGAAAAGAAUUAAACUCCACACUGAAGUGGUAAAAUUAGGAAUUAUAUGGGGGGAAAAAAAAACAAACUGGAACCUGAUUCUCGCAGAAAGCAGAAAUUCCUUCCCGAUGCCACGCGAGCGGGAGCGUUUUUGGGAGGUGCUGGCUGAUGAAGCCAGGGGAGGGGGCGGUAUUUCGGUGUCCCUCGAUUCUUAUUUAUUUAUUUUGCAGGGCAACCAGGUCCCUUGUGCGGCUGCCGUGACUGAUGGAGCUUCCCGUGGUGCUGCUUCGCACUCGCUGGGGAUCUGGCCGUUGACCCAAAAAGUGUUUUUAAAAGGGAAAAUAGCACCCUCGUCCCUGGGCUGGUGGGACAUUUUGCAAGUUAUAUUUGCGACUACUCCCUUUUGGCAUUUUUGGGGGGAGGGGGAGAAAAAAAAAAGGAAAAGGAGCCAUAUCAUGGGCUGUCUUGGUGCUCCAGCUUACCCAGAUUUUUACACCAGAGUAAACUGGACUCCUCGAGGGUUGCUGCCGCCUCCAAACGCCCCAGCUGGGUGCGCAAGUGGGAGCUCAGCGUUGGCGCCCAGCGUUUCCGGUAGCUGCGUAGAGCAGAGCGAGCCACUAUCAAUUAUAGGAAGUUAUUUAAGGAAAGACGCAGCUUUUCCCUUGCUCAGCUCUCUGAGCUCGUUCCCGCUUGGCGGGAGGGCAGCGGCGGUUUCCAGCUUUAGCAAUAAUGACUUCUCUUCUUUGGAGUUUUUGUGCCCCUUCAAAGUCAGUCUGUGUUCACCCUGGAGCAGAACGAGGGCAGGAUGA
This 1188-nucleotide long non-coding RNA is filed under the name Apteryx haastii (Great spotted kiwi). RNAcentral's name for it is "lncRNA (ENSAHAG00000011202.1)". Lineage: Eukaryota; Metazoa; Chordata; Aves; Apterygiformes; Apterygidae. The record is from RNAcentral.